GCGAAGUGGACGUGUCGACGGAUGUGGAAUUUUUCAAACGUUCAAACGCUGCUCUUGCUCUCUUUCAUUGUUGCAAUAGCUUUGACAGCAGCAGCAACAACAACUAGUGAGACUGUUGAAGCAGCGUUGACGCUACAGAAGUAAAUAAAAUAAAGAAACAACAACAAUUCAUCCAAAACUGCAGCAUAAAAUUAAAAUAUUUAAUUAGGUGAAAUAUAGCUGUAAUUAGUGCAUAGUCGCAUUAGUUGCACGCUUAAGUGAAUUGUAGCUUCCAUUGUACAUACAUAUAUGCAUAUAAAUACAUACAUACUUACAUACACAUACAAAUUAACGUACGUGUGAAGCAUUUAUGUGAGUGUGAAUAUAACAUAAUAUCAAGAUAAUAAGGAUAAGGAGAAUAAACACCACGCAUACAUACAUAUGCACAUAAAUACCAUACAUAUAAACUGGUGUAUCUAAAAAUAGCUUAAACGUAAAUGAAUAACUUAAUUGGAGCAGUAAAUGCAUGGAUGUCGGUUGCAGG
Rhagoletis pomonella (apple maggot) is the source of this 523-nucleotide long non-coding RNA. RefSeq lists it as uncharacterized. The record is from RefSeq and is a predicted model, not a curated record. Lineage: Eukaryota; Metazoa; Arthropoda; Insecta; Diptera; Tephritidae. The transcript is spliced from 3 exons.